CAGCAGCCGCGGGAAUACGGAGGAUCCAAGCGUUAUCCGGAAUCAUUGGGUUUAAAGGGUCCGUAGGCGGUCUUGUAAGUCAGUGGUGAAAGCCCAUCGCUCAACGGUGGAACGGCCAUUGAUACUGCAGGACUUGAAUUAUUGGGAAGUAACUAGAAUAUGUAGUGUAGCGGUGAAAUGCUUAGAGAUUACAUGGAAUACCAAUUGCGAAGGCAGGUUACUACCAAUUGAUUGACGCUGAUGGACGAAAGCGUGGGUAGCGAACAGGAUUAGAUACCCCCAGUAGUCCCUGUCUCUUAUU
RNAcentral lists this ribosomal RNA (301 nucleotides) under uncultured bacterium. RNAcentral describes it as "partial 16S ribosomal RNA". It matches the Rfam family "Bacterial small subunit ribosomal RNA", at positions 509 to 808 of the family's 1533-position model. The record is from RNAcentral.